CUGGAUGUCAACAGUCUUUAGAAAUUGGUUGAUGUUUUUCUUUAGAGAAAUGAAGAAGUAAGGCAGUUCAGAACGAGGGUCCAGCCGAGUGCUCUCUAAUGUUUUGAUGAGCGCUCCAGGUCACGAGCUUCACGUUGUAUUUAUCAGCAUGAAGAUGACAGCAGGCUGCACGAGACAGUGGGAAUGGUGACGGACAGGACAUGAACCAUGUAUCCUGGACCUACUGAAAACACUCCACAUGGCCGGUAUAGCUGAACACUCCCAGAGCCCAGCCCAGCCCAGGCCAGUCCACAUUCAUUAGCCAGUGGCUCUCUCUCCCGGAGCUGCCUGCUGCCUAUCUGCCUGUUUGCUGACUGCUUGUGGAAAAAACCAUUUAGCCUGCUGAAUGUCAAGGUUAGUGUGCGCUGUCCUUGUCAUCAGUCUCUGCGGCAGAAGGUCAGGGAUAAGCUUUCCUCAAAUGGGCAGCGUCAAACAAAG
This 477-nucleotide long non-coding RNA is filed under the name Salmo salar (Atlantic salmon). RNAcentral's name for it is "lncRNA (ENSSSAG00000083745.1)". Lineage: Eukaryota; Metazoa; Chordata; Actinopteri; Salmoniformes; Salmonidae. The record is from RNAcentral.